CUAAAACCAACCAAUCCAUUUCUAGACUCUGUUAUUUGCAGACCCAUUUGCCCAAAUCAGGCAAUGGAUGCUCAUGGAUUCAAGAUAACUCCUUGUGCCACAGUGUUUCUACCUCCGUCGAGUGUUAUCAAGGUUCCGUUUGUCAUGCGUUACCCACAAGGCCAGCACAAGUUUCCACUGUGGAGGAUCUUUUUGAAUUCAUUUGCUCAGGUCCCUUGAUGGAAAAGUUGGGUAUGAGCCCUGAAAAUGUGGCCAAUGCCAUUGAUAAAUGGCUAGCUUAUGGCUCUUAUCUUUGUCGAUUGUUCAAAGCUAACGAAAUGGAGCUCACAAUUCCUCAGAAAGCAAGAUUUUAUCAUUACUAUAUACCCGUCUUUCUUUGGUGUGAAGACCAGAUUUCUCAAUACCAUUCCUCAUUUAAAGAAGGAGAAGAAAUACCUCCCUUUGUGAUAGGAUUUAGUGCUCCGCAAGGUUGUGGAAAGACGACACUCGUGUAUGCUCUCAAUUAUCUUUUUGAAGUAACAGGCAGGUAGGCUGCGAUGCUAGUACUUAUACCAUAACGAGAGCUGACCAUCUGCUGAAGCAGUGAUAAGACUAAAUAAUGGGCAAACUAUAAUUUCUGACUGAAGUUCUAUCUCAGGAAGUCUGCUAUGUUAUCCAUUGACGACUUCUAUCUAACGGCCAAGGGGCAGGCACAACUGAGGAAAAGCAACCCCGGAAAUGCACUUCUAGAGUUUCGUGGAAAUGCUGGAAGUCAUGAUCUCGAAUUGUCAGUUGAAACACUCACAGCCCUAUCCAAGUUGACCAAGGAAGGUUUAAAGAUGAAGGUCCCCAGAUAUGAUAAAUCUGCAUUCAGUGGAAGAGGUGACAGAGCUGAUCCUUCUACUUGGCCAGAGGUUGAAGGACCACUGACAGUCGUCCUAUUUGAAGGCUGGAUGCUUGGCUUCAAACCGCUCCCGACAGAAGCUGUCACAGCAGUCGAUCCACAGCUCGAGACAGUGAAUAAUAAUAUGAAAGCGUACUACGACGCUUGGGAUAAGUACAUAAAGGCGUGGAUCGUGAUCAAGAUAAACGACCCCAGUUGCGUUUACCAUUGGCGUCUGCAGGCAGAGAUUGCAAUGAGAGAGGCAGGAAAACCCGGGAUGAGCGACGAAGAGGUUAGAGAUUUUGUUUCACGUUAUCUGCCAGCCUAUAAGGCUUAUCUUCCCACGCUGUACUCAGAAGGGCCAAGUGGGUCAGAUCCAAAGCGUUUGCUUGUGGUUGAAAUUGAUGAAGAAAGGAAUCCAAUUCUUGGUUAUUAGGUGGAGAUAAAUAUGAAGUUAAAAGUUGGUUUUCUCAGCUUUCACAUGUUCUUUGACCACCUUUUUCUACCCGCUUAUGUGGAUACCACUUGCCUACUUUAUUCAAAAGGAGGAGCUCUUACUUAUUCAUUCAUUUGUAUCAAUCUGUUUAUGUUGUAUGUAAUAAAUCAAGUGGGUUUGACUCAUACUACAUGAGGGAUUAAGUAGGAGCUUUUACUUGUGGACUGUACAUUACUUUUCAUCGG
This 1543-nucleotide unclassified non-coding RNA is filed under the name Hevea brasiliensis (rubber tree). Lineage: Eukaryota; Viridiplantae; Streptophyta; Magnoliopsida; Malpighiales; Euphorbiaceae. The record is from RNAcentral.